Mesocricetus auratus (golden hamster) is the source of this 3152-nucleotide long non-coding RNA. RefSeq lists it as uncharacterized. The transcript has 4 exons. The record is from RefSeq and is a predicted model, not a curated record. NCBI's taxonomy places the organism in Eukaryota, Metazoa, Chordata, Mammalia, Rodentia, Cricetidae.
CCUGGACAAAUAGCAGCACAGAGCAGAGGGCAAGGCAAUUUACAAGGAAUCUUAGCAACCAGGCAACGGGCAGUAAACCAGAAAAUCGCCAAGGAAACCCAGCAGAGCGUGAGCUAAGCGAAUUGCAGGAUCUGUGAACCAAUUUACACCCAUCAGAGGAGGGGCAGUUCGGAGAGACACAGAGGCUGUCACCUCCAGUACAUUUGUUGAAGGGCAGCGAGGACAUAGACUCUGUUGAGGGUCGGACAGGCAGGAGUCUCUGGAGCACUGCUCAGGGGCCGUAGAAGGGACCCGUGAGGCUUCACUCCUACUCAGUGGCACGCAGAGACGGAGGCUAGCUCUGCUGCCUGACAAGCACAGAGAUGGGGAAGACAUCCAGCUGGAACUGGAAUCACUCACUAACCUAGUUGGUGGCCAGAGUGUGGACAUCAUGGAAAGGGGCAGCCUGGAGUGAGCUGUGGAGUUGAACGAGCUGUGCUCGAGUUCCCCUCCAACGUGGUGGUGAGACCUGUUCUUGAGGGGAGAUAUAGUCCAUCAUAGCCGAGAAAUCAUGGCAGCAGGAACGUGAAGCAGUCAGGAAGCAGAGAGAUCACACCUUAUCCACAAACAGGAAGCAGAGAAGGAGAGCAGGAACACACUUCCUCCAACAGGCUAACACAGACGAACGUCUCUCCCCUCGGCUUCCCUGACUUGUAAGUCCCCAGAAGUAACUGGACCUGUCUUCAAGGAGAAGAAUAAAUUUAAGCAUAUUGUUGGACAUUGUGCCAUGGAAUUAAGGGGCGUCUGCUUGAAAUAAAGACGGACAAAGGAAAAAUGUCAUGGGGCAAAGGAAAGACCGGAAGACCACAGAAAUCCUGAGUUUCCCAGAUAAAACUGGGAAAGGGCUUCAUUGUCUGCAGCCCAGAGCUGUGGGUGGGAGUUAAGAGUUGUCUAGUCCUUUGUGGACAGGGAGGGGACAGGUUAGAGUGGCUCCAAGCAUUGGGUGUUUGUGUGUGGCACCACCAAGCCUCACACACCCACUGGGAGCACCUGGCAUUAUUCAUCUCUGACACUUCUAGAGACCAGAAUUCAGAGGAGUUGAGUAACACACCCAAAGACACACAGCUAGGAAAACAGUGCCUGAUUUUCACUGAGCGGCUCUCCUUCAGUGCCAAUGUUUAUUGUUAACAAAUUAUGGAAGUGACGGGGCAUGGAUCCGCCUCAGUACUGACCAAACAGUGCCAACUGUUUGCCAGAGGCACUUAAUUUAAAAAUGUCAGUGCUUUCUGUUUCCGGCGUGCCUCCACUGUUGGCUUUUGAGAUCGCAAGCAAGUGUUACUUCCUAGUAUUCCGCCAAAGCAGUGCCAACGUCCCUUAGGCUCUUGUGAGAGAUUUUUAAGUUUAUUUGAUUUUGUCUUGGCAUUUUGCAGUGGUCAGCAGGAGGGGUGGGAAGCGGCUCUUGGGUCACUGAUAAUGGAUAGCGGAAGGGGCUUUUUAUGAAGACUCCCUCCCUGUGUGAGCCUGCAGGGCUCAGAUCAUCAUUGCUGCAUGUGGUGGUUUGAUAACCUGUUUUAAUAAUUUAUUUUGCAGUACUUUCACAUUCACAGGAAUGUUGUGAGAACUUCCAUUAUCUCCUUACCCUCGUUCCCUGAAGGUCGGUGCUCAGUUUCCUCACCGUCUCUGAAUAUGAACAUCUAUCCGUUAUCAUCAUCCCUCUCUGGAACUACUUGAGAGCGAGUUGCAGCCAUGAUGCCCCCAACCUUAAAGUCUUCAGUGUGCACUUCCCUAUAUCAAGGACACCGUACCCCUGCCCCCUCCCCCCCCACAGCCACAACUCUUAUGGAUUGAGCAAUGACAUUGAUAGAAUACGACGACUCAGUUCACAGACCUGAAUAAAGCUGCUGGUUGUUCCCUCUUUUUCUUUAUCCACGACCCUCGCUGAGCAUCAGCCACUGAUUUCCUGUCCCUUCUACAUUUAUUUAUUAAUGUUAACAGAAGCUAGCUCUUCUGAUUUACUCGCCUACCCUCCACCUCCUCCUUGUCAACUUAUAUAGAACACACGAUGGGUCACAAUCUGUUAAUACCACUAUUUAUCUUGUCACCCAGCUGUCCUGAAUUUGGUUAUGAGGCCCUUCAGGCUGCCUCAUGUAUCUUAUUAACAGGUCUGUGUCCCCUCUGAUGGAAGAAUUGUUGAAGAGUUUUCUGGAACAAGAAGGGUUUCCCACUCUCUGUCUUUGCUCUGUAGAAACAGCCAUUUCUAUAAAGCCUUGGCUCCUUGAGUGGAGGAAGGUGCCUGGGAGCCAACCUCUGUGCUCUUUUGGCUGAUGGAGUUAGGAGUCACAUGUGUGUACACAUAUUUAUGAUUUACUGUGUGCACACACGUGUGUGCAUGUGCGUGUGUGUACAUGCAUGUAUGUGUGUGCGAGCAAUCACACACACUUAUCUAUCUUCAUCCACUUAUUUACUCACAAGUUCAUUGCCACAUUUUGGAUGAUACUCCAUCACUUCUUGAUUUUAUCUUUUCCAACUUGUAAUCAUCCAUCUUCAUGGCCAAUUUGACUGGAUUUAGAGUCACCUAGGAGACACACCUCUGGGCACAUCUUUCAAGGCAUUUCUGGAGAGAUUUAACUCAGCAGGGGAGGUACUCCCUGGAUGUGAGUAACACUGUUUUAUGGAUUGGGGUCCUGGACAGAAUAAAAAGGUGGAAAAGAGAACAAGCAGAGACUCAACAUUGAGUUAAUUCUUGGUGUUCCCUUUCUACAGACACGGUGUGAUCAGUCAUUGUGGGAAUCCAGUAGAGUCAUUGUAUCCAGGGUAAACAGGAUGAGAUAGUUGCUUUUCAAUGUACCCAGGGUAACAUCAGAAUGUAAUCAUUGUCUGUUAGAGGUCAUUGUAGAGAAUAGUGAUUGUUUCAUGUGCUUUAUGCUUUAUAGAGUUGUUUUUUCUGAAAGGAUUCUCCAUCCAUUUGAUGACUUUAGUCACAAGAAGGUCCUGGCAUGCCUGGAGCAUCUAGCUUUGCUGGGUCCUUCAAACAGUACACAAUAAGGACUAAAGUUGUGGGGUGUGAUGGUUUCCUUCAUAAAAACCAUCAAAGGGCUUUGGUAUGAGGAACUUGUUUUAUCCAAAAAACAACCUGUAUGUACCAAUCAAUAAAUACUCUUCUCCAGGUUAAA